RNAcentral lists this unclassified non-coding RNA (373 nucleotides) under uncultured fungus. Its description in RNAcentral is "partial contains 5.8S ribosomal RNA and internal transcribed spacer 2". The stretch from base 1 to 133 matches the Rfam family "5.8S ribosomal RNA", at positions 22 to 154 of the family's 154-position model. Lineage: Eukaryota; Fungi. The record is from RNAcentral.
UGGCUCUCGCAUCGAUGAAGAACGCAGCGAAAUGCGAUAAGUAAUGUGAAUUGCAGAAUUCAGUGAAUCAUCGAAUCUUUGAACGCACCUUGCGCCUUUUGGUAUUCCGAAAGGCACACCUGUUUGAGCGUCCCGGCUCGUUGAACCAUCAAAUUUUUUUAUUGAAGUCUGUAUGGUUCAGAUCUUGAGCGCUGCUGUGACUUUGGAACAGCUCGCUUUAAAUUUAUCAGCCAAUUCUUGACCAUUCGGAUUGACUCAACGUGAUAAUAUUUUCGUUGAGGACGCUUGUGCGGCCGAGUGACCGGGGAUGGCUUCUAGUCCGCAUUUUUGCACUUUAAAUUUAGACCUCAAAUCAGGUGGGACUACCCGCUGA